GAACUGCGAUAAGUAAUGCGAAUUGCAGAAUUCAGUGAAUCAUCGAGUCUUUGAACGCACAUUGCGCCCCCUGGCAUUCCGGGGGGCAUGCCUGUCCGAGCGUCAUUGCUGCCCUUCAAGCCCGGCUUGUGUGUUGGGUCGUCGUCCCCUCCGGGGGACGGGCCCGAAAGGCAGCGGCGGCACCGCGUCCGGUCCUCGAGCGUAUGGGGCUUUGUCACCCGCUCGAUAAGGACCGGCCGGGCGCCAGCCGGCGUCUCCAACCUUUUUUUCUCAGGUUGACCUCGGAUCAGGUAGGGAUACCCGCUGAACUUAAGC
Molecule: unclassified non-coding RNA, 315 nt
Filed under: plant metagenome
Description: partial contains 5.8S ribosomal RNA, internal transcribed spacer 2, and large subunit ribosomal RNA
Rfam family: 5.8S ribosomal RNA (bases 1-105)
Source: RNAcentral